Molecule: long non-coding RNA, 672 nt
Organism: Gadus morhua (Atlantic cod)
Lineage: Eukaryota; Metazoa; Chordata; Actinopteri; Gadiformes; Gadidae
Exons: 3
Source: RefSeq, a predicted model, not a curated record
UUAGCAGUCAUGGGGGUUAUACCCCGUACAUAUGGAAUAUGUAACGGAGUGGAGAGAUGGUCUCGAUACGAUAGAGAGCAAUCUAUUUUAAGGUAAAUUUUGAUGGGACCUGCACACUACUGUAAAAAAAAAAAUGUAAUUAGGUGGGGCACUUUUUUGGGUAAUCAACUGUCUAAUCUUUAUCUUCUACCAGUUACUGAUGAUGGUGUAAUCUGUCUCGUGGAGCCUUCUGCCAUAACACACCUCCAUGCUGUUGAUGAUGAUGAAGACACCUUAUCAGCUGCCAUAGAGAGGGAAGUAAUAACUUUGGUUUCAGUUAAUUGUUCCACAAUACAACUCGCAACUUCUUUCUCCCUAACAGAGCAAUGCCGGAAGUUACAAUCAGGAAGAAGGUCCAUCAACCUCCACAGCACAGCUUACCUCAGUAAGAUGUUGUUCAGUGUUGACCCACAACUUACAAUGACACUAAGUAGACAUGGCACUGUGAAAUUCAACGUAAUUUAUGUUCCUAUAGCUCCCUGUGGAACAACUUUACAAUGUAUAUUUAGAAUCCCAAAUAAACAAAUCACACCUAGAAAUGGAGCACAUAAGGCUGCAGAUCACCAAAACAAAAAAGGAAAUACAACUGCUGGACCAUCAGUUAAAGGAAAUAAAGAAGACCCCAUAAAAUGA